AUGCAACCCCCACCCCGAAAUAAAAGUUGCCUGCCUGUGCAUCACUUUGCAGACAGGCGACAGGCUCCGACAGAGCGCUCGGUACAGUGGCCGCUAGAUAAUGAGCGCUCCCUGGCUGCCGCGAUUCUGAAAAGUCCCCGGGGGGGGGGGGCAACUCACCUGUCCGGGGCUGGCGAGGGGAGCCGCGGGCUAGCCAGGGAGGGGGCCGGACCACCCGGGAGAGCAGCAGAGAUGGGGGAGGCGUCUCGACGCGUCCCGGAUUUCCGCAGCCGGAGCGAUAGUCCGGCCCUCUCCGGGGGGCUUCUCGCCCGCGUCCGAAGGAGCAUCGGAAAAUGUGAGCUCCCCUGUUGAGGACAUCGAACACGUGUGGCGGUUACUUACUCCAUGCUGACGUCAUCUUAUAUUUCACUCCCCACGUCCUCUUCUGCUUCAGAGUUCGUCUUCACCACUCCAAACAGUCAGGGCGGUCGUCGCAGUUCGUGUUCUUCCGAAGAAAACUAAAAUGGGAAGCGUAAAGCGGUUUCGAACAGCGGACCCCUCUCUGGGUGUGGUUGAGCAAAUCCGACGCGUUCGAGAGAAUCGGGAACUGUUCGGACGCAAUCAACAUUCACUAAUUUAGCCCCGUUCGAGCUCUCUGGUCCCCUCUCAACCCUAAUCGGACUGGAGAACGCAACCCACCCUAGAAGUAGGAUUUAUUGAGCGCCCUGCUUGGGGCCGUGCGCUCCACUGGAUGCUUGGAAAAUAUACAAUAACAAAAUGGGAUCAAGAUACGAUCAGGUAACCGUUUUUAUUGUCCCUCUGAGGCUCAGGUGCUAGACACCUUGCAGGCCAUAUAAAAUAAAAUAACUAAAAAAUAAGUGUUGGUAUUGGUUAAGCGCUCACUACGUGCAGAGCACUGCUCUAAGCGCUGGGGUAGAUCCAGGGUCAUCAGGUCGUCCCUCGUGAGGCUCACAGUCUCAUCCCCAUUUUCCAGAUGAGGUCACUGAGGAACAGAGAAGUGAAGCGACUCGCCCACAGUCACCCAGCUGACGGGUGGCGGAGCCGGGAUUCGAGCCCAUGACCUCUGACUCCCAAGCCCGGGCUCUUGCCACUGAGCCCCGCUGCUUCUCCUAAAUAAUCAAUAAAUGAUAAUAAAAUACCAGAAUAAAUCUGGUACUAAGUGCUGGGGAGUGUACAGUAGCAGUAAUAGUGUUUAUUAAGGGUUCACUGCGUGCCAAGCACUGUACUAAGCACUGGGAAAUAGUACACAAGGGGAAAUUAGACCCGCGAGCCCUAACCUUCGAGGGGCUCGCAAUCUAGCAGUGCGGUCCAGGGGGCAGAGCAUGGUCCUGGGAGUCAAAAGGCCCCAGGUCCUCAUCCCAGUUCUGCCACCUGACGUCUGUAUGACCUCGGGCAAGUCACUUCACUUCUCUGUACCUCAAUCCCCUCAUCUUUAAAAUGGGGAUUGAGACCGUGAACCCCAUACGGGACGGUGUCCGACCUGAUCCACUUGUAGCUACCCCAGCGUUUGAUACAGUGCCUGGCACACAGUAAGCGCUUAAAUGCUAUAACAAAAAUAGAUCUACAGUAGAGUUGAUAAGACGCUAUCUCUGCCCUCGAGGAGUUUACAGUCUACUUCGGUUUAUACAAGUCAAUGGGGGGUUUUUUUUCGGUAACUUGACUGGCUGUUGAUACCGAAUGGGAUCGUCUUACCUAGAGAGAGGGAGCAGCCGGCAUCUGCCUCGAAGACCUCCUUGCCCUGACUCUCUUAACAGUGCCGACCCGAAAUGGUAGGAGAUCACAAAUCCCGUACGGAAGCGGCGGCGACGACACCGGAGGCUUGCGUAAGGACGCCGGGAAAUCUCCCUCGGGAUCGUCACCGUCGGCCUCCCUCUUCACGAUGGACAGCUUGAUAGGAUCGGAUGAAAUUAAGUCAAAUAGAAAUCUCACCCACAGCUUCCUUUCUGCAUUCCCCCGCUAAGAGUUGGCAAAGCAGGGAGGUGAGCAGGGAAGACGAGAGAAAUUUGAGACUGUGAUAGUCUGCCUUCGGACAAGCGCCGGCAAUCCCUGGGCUUUUAGUCUCAGCUUCCUACUACAUAGAUGAACCAGUUCGGCCUACUGGGAAGAGCCUAGGCCUUAGAGUCGGGGGACUUUGACUCCUUUUGGCAUCUGUCAAGUGCUCACCAUGUGCCAGGCACCGUACCAAACACUGGAGUAGAUUGAAGAGAAUAGGGAUGGACACAGUCCACUUGGGGCUCCCUGUCUCAAUCCCCGUUUUAGAGAUGAGGCACAGAGAAGUUAAGUUACUCGCCCCAAAACACACAGCAGCCAAGUGACAGAACCAGGAUCAGAACCCAAAUCCUCUGUCUCCCAGGACUGUGCCCUUUCCACGCGGUCACGUUGCUAAAUCCGGUCCGAUCCUGGUUCUGCCCCUUGCCUGUCGUGUGAGCUUGGGCGAGUCGCUUCGCUUCUCUAUGCCUCGGUUUGCUCAUCUCUAAAAUGGGGACUCCAUACGGGUUCUCCUUCCUACCUAGACUGGGGGCACCGUGAGGGAUAGGGACCGGGCCUGACCCGAUCGUCUUAUAUCUGCCUUACGGCUUAAAAUAGUGUUUGGGAACAUGGUAAGCAAUCAGUGGUAUUUCUUGAGCGCUUACUGCGUGCAGAGCACUCUACUAAGUAUUUAAUAAUACACGCUUAUUAACAUGUCACAGUUAUUAAGCAAAGGUUGAUCCUACGAAGUCCACUCUCUCGGGAGAUCAGAUUUCCCAUCGGUCAACGUAACGACGAUGGUAUCCGUUAGGCGCUGUACGAAACCCCGGGGUGGAUACAGGCAAAUCGAGGGAGCCCCGUCCCACGUGGGGCUCACGUUCUCAAUCUCCAUUUUGACAGCUGAGCGGGCGUAGAAAAGUAAAGCCACUUGCCCCGGGUCACAGAGAAGACAAAUGGCAGACCCGGGAUUAGAAGCCAUGACCUUCUGACUCCCAGGGGCGUGCUCUAUCCGCUACACUAUCCAAGGCGAUCUUAGCACGUAUCAUGAGCCAAACUCUGAACUAGACGCAGAAGAAUCACGUCGGGCCUAUUUCCUGUCUCACGAGGAACUCCGUCUAAGUGGGAGAGCAGAGCCCAGUACAGUGUUUCACGCUCGGUAAGUGCUCAGUAAAUACGAUCGAAUGAAUACGCGACGGUCCCAUCCCCCAUCUUACAGAUGAGGAGACCGAGUCACGGAGCAGUUAAGGGACUUGCCUCAAAUCCCACAGCUGUAGGGAGCGACAUUUAGUCCCGAAGCACGUCGGAACCACCAAUCUCUCGGCACUGGGGAAGCCGAGACCAAUAUCUGCGGGGAGCACAGCCGGAUCACCUCAGCUCCUGGUUCAGUCUUGAAUCUGAACCCCAAAACCCGUAUCCGCUCCGAGUCAGCUUCCAGCGGUGACACUCCUUUCUCCCGGUGUCGCUUCCCGGGGCUCAGCUGAUUCCAGAAACGGAUGCCUCCGGAUACAGUGUUUGGGCACAAUGGGGAAUCUUCUUUUAAAACCGCGUGUAAGAGCGAAUUGACUCUGCUUAUUUUUGAUGUCCAGCGAAGCUUUAGACAGCCAUUUAAUCAUUAUUGCAGCUACAGUUCUGCUCCUCUCUGGAGAAGCUUAAAACAUGUCAGAAAGGGAGGCAGCAUAAUGGCUCUGACAGGGUUUGAGAGGGAGCGAUUAAAUUUAAGAUAACGAGUUCUGUUGAAAUUUUAAUGUUAUUGUAACAAUCCGGGCCUGCUGGAGCCGGUUUCAUUCUCCAGAUCCGAAAUUAAAAUGUGCAACUGGGAACUGUGCUGAGUUUUAUUUGCCCUUCUGCC
RNAcentral lists this long non-coding RNA (3817 nucleotides) under Ornithorhynchus anatinus (platypus). RNAcentral describes it as "lncRNA (ENSOANG00000037153.1)". Lineage: Eukaryota; Metazoa; Chordata; Mammalia; Monotremata; Ornithorhynchidae. The record is from RNAcentral.